Non-coding RNA from Pelobates cultripes (western spadefoot toad), 203 nucleotides. The record is from the annotation of a GenBank genome assembly. NCBI's taxonomy places the organism in Eukaryota, Metazoa, Chordata, Amphibia, Anura, Pelobatidae.
GGCGGGAGGUGGCAUCCUGGUACUGGUUACGGUGCUGGAAGGUGCCUCUUCCCGUGCCACGGGAUUGGGGGUAACUGUGGCCGGACAGGCGGCUCCUGAAUCUGCCGGCCCUGGUAGAGACCCGCCCCUGGAAUACUCGCCUCAUGGAGGCUUGGGCCUUGUCUAGAGCCGUGAAUGCUCCAACGAAGUGCCCUAAAUCUUUU